GAUGAUGAUGCACGAAGCGAAGAUAGAAAAGAUCAGGCCGGUGGGGCUUGCCUCCAAUUCAUAUACAGUUGUUACUCUGUCAGUCUGCCUGUAUAUAUUUACAAGGCAGGGGGAUAACUACACUUUCAUUCUGAAAAGUGGCAGCAAAUCCGGCCUUGCCUGUAUGGAGUUUCCAUGUUCUCCCUGUGCCUGCAUGGAUUUCUCCGCGGACUCUGCUUUCCUCCCACAAUAAAAGAAGCCGUCAGGGAAGUCUGGGCGUCCCUGCUAAAGCUCCUGCCCCUGCGACCCGACCUCGGAUAAGCGGUAGAUAAUGGAUCGAUGGAUAGAUGGAUAUCCCGAUCACCAGCUCUUCCAGCUCCUUCCCUCAGGUAGGCGCUACCGAUCAAUGGAAACUGGAACUAGCAGACAUUCCAACAGCUUCUUCCCUCUUGCAAUCAACUUCUUAAACAGCUAACCUACAAUUCCAUUACAACAUGCUGGCAAUUUUUUGACUUGAGUUUGUUGUCACAUUUCUGUGGGGCCAAUUAUACGUUACUCAUGCACUCACUGUAGUAGUCUCACCACGCUGCACUAUUUGCAUAUCUGUUGUUGACCAAUACUGGCCACUCAUGCCAGAGUAGCAUCUGCUCCAUUUGCACACUGAUUGAAGAGUAUCUGCAACAUUUGCACAAUCAACAUUGUCCCAGAUUAUCGCACUACUCGCUUGAAGUCUUGACGCCCUUUGCACAAUGGUCAUUGCACCGGACUAUUGCAAUAUUAGUCAUAUUAGUAAAAUGCUCCCUGGGUGCUUCAGCUUCCCCCUGCUCCAGUGUGUUCCACUAACAUGUGUAUGUGUUCACUGUGUUGGGUUAAAUGCAGAGAACAAAUUUCAUGUGCAUGCAUGCAUGUUCAUGACAAUAAAAAGUGAUUCUUCUUCUUCUUCUCCUCCUCCAUCAUCGCUUUUUUUUUGCCUGAAUUCCUGCAUUGAAUCAAACACUGAUAGC
Phyllopteryx taeniolatus (common seadragon) is the source of this 983-nucleotide long non-coding RNA. RefSeq lists it as uncharacterized. The record is from RefSeq and is a predicted model, not a curated record. NCBI's taxonomy places the organism in Eukaryota, Metazoa, Chordata, Actinopteri, Syngnathiformes, Syngnathidae. The transcript is spliced from 3 exons.